AGAGUUUGAUCCUGGCUCAGAAUCAACGCUGGCGGCGUGCCUCAGACAUGCAAGUCGAACGAUUAAAGCUCUCUUCGAGAGUGCAUAAAGUGGCGCACGGGUGAGUAACACGUAAGUAAUCUACCCUCGGGUGGGGAAUAACAUCGGGAAACCGAUGCUAAUACCGCAUAAUGCAGCGGCACCGCAAGGUGACAGUUGUUAAAGGAGUAAUUCGCCCGAGGAGGAGCUUGCGGCAGAUUAGCUAGUUGGUAAGGUAAUGGCUCACCAAGGCUACGAUCUGUAACCGGUCUAAGAGGACGGUCGGUCACACUGACACUGAAUAACGGGUCAGACUCCUACGGGAGGCAGCAGUCGGGAAUUUUGGGCAAUGGGCGAAAGCCUGACCCAGCAACGCCGCGUGAAGGAUGAAGUAUUUCGGUAUGUAAACUUCGUAAGAAUAGGAAGAAUAAUGACGGUACUAUUGUAAGGUCCGGCUAACUACGUGCAAGCAGCCGCGGUAAUAC
This 503-nucleotide ribosomal RNA is filed under the name uncultured bacterium. Its description in RNAcentral is "bacterial SSU rRNA". It matches the Rfam family "Bacterial small subunit ribosomal RNA", at positions 8 to 526 of the family's 1533-position model. The record is from RNAcentral.